Ailuropoda melanoleuca (giant panda) is the source of this 110-nucleotide small nuclear RNA. NCBI's taxonomy places the organism in Eukaryota, Metazoa, Chordata, Mammalia, Carnivora, Ursidae. The record is from Ensembl.
GUGCCCUUUUCGCCGGCAGCACGUAUACCAACAUCGGAACGAUCCAGAGACGAUUAGCAUCGCCCCCGCACAAGGAUGACAGGCAGAUUCGUGAAGCAUGCCAUAUUUUU